GAUGAAGAACGUAGCGAAAUGCGAUAAGUAAUGUGAAUUGCAGAAUUCAGUGAAUCAUCGAAUCUUUGAACGCACAUUGCGCCCGCCAGUAUUCUGGCGGGCAUGCCUGUCCGAGCGUCAUUUCAACCCUCGAACCCCUCCGGGGGGUCGGCGUUGGGGAUCGGCCCUUUACCGGCCGGCCCCGAAAUACAGUGGCGGUCUCGCCGCAGCCUCUCCUGCGCAGUAGUUUGCACACUCGCACCGGGAGCGCGGCGCAGUCCAAUGCCGUAAAACACCCAACUUUCUGAAAUGUUGACCUCGGAUCGGGUAGGAAUACCCGCUGAACUUAAGCAUAUCAAUAAGCGGAGGA
This 349-nucleotide unclassified non-coding RNA is filed under the name soil metagenome. RNAcentral describes it as "partial contains 5.8S ribosomal RNA, internal transcribed spacer 2, and large subunit ribosomal RNA". The stretch from base 1 to 120 matches the Rfam family "5.8S ribosomal RNA", at positions 35 to 154 of the family's 154-position model. The record is from RNAcentral.